This 253-nucleotide ribosomal RNA is filed under the name uncultured bacterium. RNAcentral describes it as "partial 16S ribosomal RNA". It matches the Rfam family "Bacterial small subunit ribosomal RNA", at positions 524 to 776 of the family's 1533-position model. The record is from RNAcentral.
UACGUAGGGUGCAAGCGUUGUCCGGAAUCAUUGGGCGUAAAGCGCGUGUAGGCGGCUCGGUAAGUCCGCUCUGAAAGUCCGGGGCUCAACCCCGGGAGGCGGGUGGAUACUGUCGAGCUAGAGUCCGGAAGAGGCGAGUGGAAUUCCUGGUGUAGCGGUGAAAUGCGCAGAUAUCAGGAGGAACACCUAUAGCGAAGGCAGCUUACUGGGCUGUAACUGACGCUGAGGCACGAAAGUGUGGGGAUCAAACAGG